This is a non-coding RNA of Saimiri boliviensis boliviensis (Bolivian squirrel monkey), 285 nucleotides long. NCBI's taxonomy places the organism in Eukaryota, Metazoa, Chordata, Mammalia, Primates, Cebidae. The record is from RefSeq and is a predicted model, not a curated record.
GACACCUGCUUGGUGGGCGGGCCUGGGCCUCCCGGCUGGCCGCGUUGCGGCUGUCAGGCUGAGUGCGCUUUUUGCGGAGCAGCUACUGAAAAUUACCAAGGACAGGUAGGAGAUAAAAGAUACCUAUAAAGGAGCUGAAAUGUAGCAGAUCACAGUGAUUUAUAUGACAGCUGCUAGCCCAAGAGCUAGUUCCAGAAGAGGGCUACCUUACAGAUGCUGUGGCAGGUAGCAGAGGUAUGUAGCCACUGUUUACCCACAGGUUGCAGGUGUGGAGAACAAGGUCUA